This 463-nucleotide ribosomal RNA is filed under the name uncultured bacterium. Its description in RNAcentral is "bacterial SSU rRNA". It matches the Rfam family "Bacterial small subunit ribosomal RNA", at positions 335 to 790 of the family's 1533-position model. The record is from RNAcentral.
ACUCCUACGGGAGGCAGCAGUAGGGAAUCUUCCACAAUGGGCGCAAGCCUGAUGGAGCAACACCGCGUGAGUGAAGAAGGGUUUCGGCUCGUAAAGCUCUGUUGUUAAAGAAGAACACGUAUGAGAGUAACUGUUCAUACGUUGACGGUAUUUAACCAGAAAGUCACGGCUAACUACGUGCCAGCAGCCGCGGUAAUACGUAGGUGGCAAGCGUUAUCCGGAUUUAUUGGGCGUAAAGAGAGUGCAGGCGGUUUUCUAAGUCUGAUGUGAAAGCCUUCGGCUUAACCGGAGAAGUGCAUCGGAAACUGGAUAACUUGAGUGCAGAAGAGGGUAGUGGAACUCCAUGUGUAGCGGUGGAAUGCGUAGAUAUAUGGAAGAACACCAGUGGCGAAGGCGGCUACCUGGUCUGCAACUGACGCUGAGACUCGAAAGCAUGGGUAGCGAACAGGAUUAGAUACCCUGG